Molecule: ribosomal RNA, 497 nt
Filed under: uncultured bacterium
Lineage: Bacteria
Description: partial 16S ribosomal RNA
Rfam family: Bacterial small subunit ribosomal RNA
Source: RNAcentral
GAUGAACGCUGGCGGAGGGAAGAAUACAGGCAAGUCGAGCGAACGGACGAGAAGCUUGCUUCUCUGAUGUUAGCGGCGGACGGGUGAGUAACACGUGGAUAACCUACCUAUAAGACUGGGAUAACUUCGGGAAACCGGAGCUAAUACCGGAUAAUAUUUUGAACCGCAUGGUUCAAAAGUGAAAGACGGUCUUGCUGUCACUUAUAGAUGGAUCCGCGCUGCAUUAGCUAGUUGGUAAGGUAACGGCUGACCAAGGCAACGAUGCAUAGCCGACCUGAGAGGGUGCUCGGCCACACUGGAACUGAGACACGGUCCAGACUCCUACGGGAGGCAGCAGUAGGGAAUCUUCCGCAAUGGGCGAAAGCCUGACGGAGCAACGCCGCGUGAGUGAUGAAGGUCUUCGGAUCGUAACACUCUGUUAUUAGGGAAGAACAUAUGUGUAAGUAACUGUGCACAUCUUGACGGUACCUAAUCAGAAAGCCCCGGCUACCUACGUG